CGUUAAACGCUGUGUCUCAUCUACUUUACGUACAGCUCAGAAUUCGCACAUAUCUCAGGUUAUUUUAUAACACGUAGAAGUAUUUAUACAUUCUUUCGCCAAAAAAAAAAAGUAUUUAUAAAUUUUUUUUGUCAAAACGCUAUCACAAAUGAUAAUGGUGAUCUUAUCUUGAGAUGCUUUUAACUAUUUCAAAAGCUGAUCACCAGUAGGCCUCAGUGGCAAUUUGCAAAAUGUUGUAAAGAUAAACAUGUGGAGCCCACAAAGAAAUUAAGCAAAAAGAAAAUUUGGAGGCUACUUACCUGUAGACUCACGGGUGCAGGUAUCUCAGCCUAUAAAUAGAGAAGGAAGAAGAGAGAAAGGGGUGCAACGGAAGAAAGAGAAGAGGAAAAGGAAAGGAAGAGAGAGAAGAAGAAAAGGAAAGGAGAAGAGGAAAGAAGAGGGUAAGUGAGCAGAGAGAAAAUUCAGUGAGCCACACAUAUUGUAAAUACUAUUGUAGCUCUAUUAUUUUUUAGUGAAAAGGUUACUGCUGCUGCUCUCCGAGGACGUAGGCAUAGCCGAACCUCGUUAAAUACUGAGUCUCGUCUACUUUACGUUCAGCUCAAAAUCUACCACAUAUCUCAGGUUAUUUUAUAACACAAAAGUAAUUCAAAAAACGACACACAAAAAACGACGUGAUGUGCUCUGCAUUUGUAUUGGUGAUGGCAGCGUACCGAUGAUGUGUCGAUAGCAACACGAAACAACGCAGCGACGUGGUUCCACACCUGGCUGGCUAGGACGUGUUGGAAUCCCGAAUCACGUGCUUGACUUGACGUAUGCGCUCGCGAAAUUUCGAAAGCGUAAUUAGUACCAUUUUGUUUUUGUGGGGGGUUGUCUAUCAUUUUCCUCAGCCCUCUCUGGUUUACGCUGCAUCUCUCAUAUUCUCUUGGCCUGCCGCCGAUUCCAGGUACUCUAUGUUCUCUUUUUAAAAUUUACUGCAACUUUGGCAGGCGAUCUCAUCAAACGAAAGAAAAGUUUGAGAUAUGAAAAAUUCUUCUUAGGGUUUUUGGUUUUUGGUGCAGCCUGCAGGUAGAAUUAUUUAUUUAUGGGUCCAAGUAUAGUGAAGGAGAUCAUAUAUGGGGCAACGAUUGGGCUGUCGGUUGGGUUUCUUUGGAAAAUGUACCACUGGAAUCUUCAGAGGAGAACCAAGGAAUUUUAUGAGCUGCUCGAUAGAGGCGAAAUCUCCACUGUUGUCGAAGAUGACUAGGCUAGGCUUAAUUACUUUGUUAAUUAUAUAGUUAACAACUUUUCUUUGGUUAUUUGCAUUGCAGGCAUGUAUUAUGUGUAUAUAAUAAUAGCCUUGCAUGUGUAAUAUAUGUUUAUUUCCCGAGAUUUGCAUGUUGGGAUUAAUGUAAGGAGGAGCUUUCAACAAAGAGCAUAUCAAGGGUCUAUUUAUUGGGCUGUAUGGAACUCUAAUAACUGUAAGAUGACAUAAUUUAAG
This 1477-nucleotide long non-coding RNA is filed under the name Prunus dulcis (almond). Its description in RNAcentral is "sRNA ncRNA". Lineage: Eukaryota; Viridiplantae; Streptophyta; Magnoliopsida; Rosales; Rosaceae. The record is from RNAcentral.